This 253-nucleotide ribosomal RNA is filed under the name uncultured bacterium. Its description in RNAcentral is "partial 16S ribosomal RNA". It matches the Rfam family "Bacterial small subunit ribosomal RNA", at positions 524 to 776 of the family's 1533-position model. The record is from RNAcentral.
UACGUAGGGUCCGAGCGUUGUCCGGAAUUACUGGGCGUAAAGCGUGCGUAGGUGGUUUGUUAAGUCUGUUGUGAAAGCCCCGGGCUCAACCUGGGAAUGGCAAUGGAUACUGGCAAGCUAGAGUGCGGUAGAGGGUAGUGGAAUUCCCGGUGUAGUGGUGAUAUGCGUAGAUAUCGGGAGGAACACCUGUGGCGAAGGCGGCUUUCUGGGCCUUACCUGACGCUGAGACGCGAAAGCGUGGGGAGCGAACCGG